GCGGGCCCAUGACGGUACCNUAAGAAUAACCACCGGCUAACUACGUGCCCNCNGCCGCGGUAAUACGUAGGGUGCGAGCGUUAAUCGGAAUUACUGGGCGUAAAGCGUGCGCAGGCGGUGAUGUAAGACAGUUGUGAAAUCCCCGGGCUCGACCUGGGAAUUGCAUCUGUGACUGCAUCGCUAGAGUACGGUNGAGGGGGAUGGAAUUCCGCGUGUAGCAAGGAAAUGCGUAGAUAUGCGGAGGA
RNAcentral lists this ribosomal RNA (245 nucleotides) under uncultured bacterium. RNAcentral describes it as "partial 16S ribosomal RNA". It matches the Rfam family "Bacterial small subunit ribosomal RNA", at positions 461 to 705 of the family's 1533-position model. The record is from RNAcentral.